ACCACAAGCUUAUGGAUCGCUUGGCUCACGUGUCGAAGAACACGGCUAGUUGUUGAAUUGGUGUUAGUUGCAGGACACAUCGAUCGUCGACACUUGAAUACACCUUGCGGCUCCUACGGCUAUCCGUCUCAGGGUUU
This 137-nucleotide ribosomal RNA is filed under the name Xenopus tropicalis (tropical clawed frog). Its description in RNAcentral is "Xenopus (Silurana) tropicalis (western clawed frog) 5.8S ribosomal RNA". It matches the Rfam family "5.8S ribosomal RNA". Rfam says of the family: 5.8S ribosomal RNA (5.8S rRNA) is a component of the large subunit of the eukaryotic ribosome. It is transcribed by RNA polymerase I as part of the 45S precursor that also contains 18S and 28S rRNA. The record is from Rfam by way of RNAcentral. Lineage: Eukaryota; Metazoa; Chordata; Amphibia; Anura; Pipidae.